AGUGAACGCUGGCGGUAGGCCUAACACAUGCAAGUCGAACGGCAGCACAGUAAGAGCUUGCUCUUACGGGUGGCGAGUGGCGGACGGGUGAGGAAUACAUCGGAAUCUACUUUUUCGUGGGGGAUAACGUAGGGAAACUUACGCUAAUACCGCAUACGACCUACGGGUGAAAGCAGGGGAUCUUCGGACCUUGCGCGAUUGAAUGAGCCGAUGUCGGAUUAGCUAGUUGGCGGGGUAAAGGCCCACCAAGGCGACGAUCCGUAGCUGGUCUGAGAGGAUGAUCAGCCACACUGGAACUGAGACACGGUCCAGACUCCGACGGGAGGCAGCAGUGGGGAAUAUUGGACAAUGGGCGCAAGCCUGAUCCAGCCAUACCGCGUGGGUGAAGAAGGCCUUCGGGUUGUAAAGCCCUUUGUUGGGAAAGAAAAGCAGCAGGUUAAUACCCCGCUGUUCUGACGGUACCCAAAGAAUAAGCACCGGCUAACUUCGUG
Molecule: ribosomal RNA, 491 nt
Filed under: uncultured bacterium
Lineage: Bacteria
Description: partial 16S ribosomal RNA
Rfam family: Bacterial small subunit ribosomal RNA
Source: RNAcentral